RNAcentral lists this long non-coding RNA (1477 nucleotides) under Gossypium barbadense (sea-island cotton). RNAcentral describes it as "long non-coding RNA (GBAR_LNC007000)". The record is from RNAcentral. Lineage: Eukaryota; Viridiplantae; Streptophyta; Magnoliopsida; Malvales; Malvaceae.
CCUCCUCUUGGACCGCAGCCACCCAUCAUUGAUACCUCACACUUGACCAUCCAACCCAUGAGUAGAGGUAUCAGCGUCUAAAGGAUAGAGCAUUAGGUUUGGGUCGGUGUAUCGAUUGGGAAGCCCUUCAGACUGUUGGUUUAUUUGCACUGGUUCAUUCGUUAUUGGGAGCAACUCCAUGGGAAUAGUUCUUCAUGAUUGUAGAGUCGAUGUAUACAGAGCUUAUUUUGGAGUUUUGCUCUACUUUUUUCCUACAGACAGUGCUAUCGUCGGAGGACGAACCACGAGCGAUCUCACUUUGUCUUAAGGGUAUCACUUGAAAUUUUAGUAUUGCAGGAUUUGGAGUUGCGCUCGGCUUAUAUUCUGAUGAUUUCUAGGCCACACCCGAGUUCUCCACCCUCCAGAGGCACAUCCAUCGAUCAGUUUCUCUCUGUUGGCCUGACAUCUCUAAGGUUGUCACUUAGUACAACCCAAGCUAGUCCAAGGCUUGACGCCUACCUUCGGCCCUGUGCUACAUUCACACAAUUUUAGCUCACACUUUGAUUGCUCAGAAGGAGUGUACGAGCAUCGUAGGCACUUGAGAUGCAUACUUCUUAUGGAGCAUGCACAGGCACUACCCAAUUGAUCUAGCCUAUUUUGUGGCCUAGUGUUGUCAUCAUCAGAGUGAGUGAUUAUAGAGAUGAUCCAUUUGUAUGGGUCCAUAUGUGACAUGCCUGGCUCAUCACUUUGGCCUCCUUGAGAACCUCGAGUAGAUUGGUACUCUUACUUUGAUUAGAGAUAUAACACCAUAGGGUUUAAGUAUAAUGAGCCAUAUGAAGAUGAUUCAGUGCCAGCAUAGAGCGAGUCCCAUCGGUAUACAUUGUUGCAUCUGGAUCCUCAAGAGGAGCACAAGGAGCUUCUGGAUCCUCCUCUACAUAUGAACCCAACUUGAUCCUCUCCCCUUCCGAGUCACUCUACUACUGCAUAUUCUGUUACACUCGAUGACAUUCUGAGCGGAUUGAUCACUUUGAGCACCGACACUCUGAUCAAAUCUACUAAAUUGAGCUACAUCAAACAGAAUGGAUAGAUCGGUUAGAGCAACUACACUUGGAGCACUUCAACCAAAUUCAAAACCAUUAGGACCACCUCAAGGUAUCAUGCCGAAAAUCAAUAAAGCAACAAUUUCCAAGGUUCUGCACUAUGCCAUCCCUCAUUGCAUGCCAAAUAUUGUAGAUUCUAUUCCAAAUUUGAGACUCAUUUCUACUAACAGUAAAUUUUGGAACUGAAUUUCCCAUAUUGGACUUCGUAUGUAAAACCUUUACCUAUAAAUGAUCCUUUUUUCACAACAAGAUGGAAAGCUAGUUUCAUGAGGAAACUGUAAUUCAAGAAUCCAAUUUACAAAAACCCAAUCCCCUACCAUCCUAAUUUUUACAAAUAUCCUUCUAUUUCACAAGGUUAGUUCCCCGCUUCCCAUUAUUGUGGCCCCAAAUGAAGCUUU